RNAcentral lists this ribosomal RNA (470 nucleotides) under uncultured bacterium. RNAcentral describes it as "partial 16S ribosomal RNA". It matches the Rfam family "Bacterial small subunit ribosomal RNA", at positions 28 to 507 of the family's 1533-position model. The record is from RNAcentral.
GACGAACGCUGGCGGCGUGCUUAACACAUGCAAGUCGAACGGAAAGGCCCUGCUUUUGUGGGGUGCUCGAGUGGCGAACGGGUGAGUAACACGUGAGUAACCUGCCCUUGACUUUGGGAUAACUUCAGGAAACUGGGGCUAAUACCGGAUAGGAGCUCCUGCUGCAUGGUGGGGGUUGGAAAGUUUCGGCGGUUGGGGAUGGACUCGCGGCUUAUCAGCUUGUUGGUGGGGUAGUGGCUUACCAAGGCUUUGACGGGUAGCCGGCCUGAGAGGGUGACCGGCCACAUUGGGACUGAGAUACGGCCCAGACUCCUACGGGAGGCAGCAGUGGGGAAUAUUGCACAAUGGGCGCAAGCCUGAUGCAGCGACGCCGCGUGGGGGAUGACGGCCUUCGGGUUGUAAACUCCUUUCGCAAUCGAAGAAGCCUUUUGGUGACGGUAGGUUGAGAAGAAGCACCGGCUUACUACGUG